CACACAGAGCCUGAAGAGGAAGGAGGAGCCAAACAGGAAACAGCAGUUUUAAGCACCGUUGAGUCUUUAUGUGGCAAAUGAACGUGGGCUGCAUGGUGGCAAAUAUGAAUAACUACCAGCAGAGAAAAAGGAAUGUAUACAAGGGAUUCACAGACAGGAACUGACCAUUAUCGUGUGUGAGGGGAACUUCUCCCUGACGUCUCUGACAAAGUGGACAAAGUGCUCAGAAUAACCGUUUGCUACGUCCACGCAGAUGUACUUCAGCUGCGGCACCGCCUCCACGACGGCCGAAAUCUUCUCAAAGUCA
Molecule: long non-coding RNA, 307 nt
Organism: Oreochromis niloticus (Nile tilapia)
Lineage: Eukaryota; Metazoa; Chordata; Actinopteri; Cichliformes; Cichlidae
Exons: 2
Source: RefSeq, a predicted model, not a curated record